AAUGCAGGUUGUUCUAUCGCUGUCUCGAUUUAUCGGGAGAGAGGAAAGUCCGGGCAACGCAGGGCAUCUCGCUUUCUAACGGAAAGGAAUUUAGGAUUGAAAACCUGAAUUACGGAUUAGUGCAACAGAAAAUAUACCACCUGGCGCAAGUUGGGAAAGGGUGAAAACGUGUGGUAAGAGCACACGAGCAUUGCAGGCGACUGCAGUGGUUUGUAAACCCCGGGAGUUGAAAGACCAAAUAGGCUAACGCAUGUAGGGCUGCCCGUCCGAUGUUAGUGGGUAGGUCGUUAGAGGUAAAUGG
RNAcentral lists this RNase P RNA (301 nucleotides) under Sphingobacteriales bacterium. RNAcentral describes it as "partial RNase P RNA component class A". It matches the Rfam family "Bacterial RNase P class A", at positions 1 to 292 of the family's 367-position model. From Rfam's summary of the family: Ribonuclease P (RNase P) is a ubiquitous endoribonuclease, found in archaea, bacteria and eukarya as well as chloroplasts and mitochondria. Its best characterised activity is the generation of mature 5'-ends of tRNAs by cleaving the 5'-leader elements of precursor-tRNAs. Cellular RNase Ps are ribonucleoproteins. The record is from RNAcentral. Lineage: Bacteria; Pseudomonadati; Bacteroidota; Sphingobacteriia; Sphingobacteriales.